UACGAAGGGGGCUAGCGUUGUUCGGAAUCACUGGGCGUAAAGCGCACGUAGGCGGAUUUGUUAGUCAGGGGUGAAAUCCCGGGGCUCAACCUCGGAACUGCCUUUGAUACUGCAGAUCUCGAGUCCGGAAGAGGUGAGUGGAACUCCUAGUGUAGAGGUGAAAUUCGUAGAUAUUAGGAAGAACACCCGUGGCGAGGGCGGCUCACUGGUCCGGUACUGACGCUCAGGUGCCCAAGCGUGCGGAGGAAGCACC
Molecule: ribosomal RNA, 253 nt
Filed under: uncultured bacterium
Lineage: Bacteria
Description: partial 16S ribosomal RNA
Rfam family: Bacterial small subunit ribosomal RNA
Source: RNAcentral